Molecule: transfer RNA, 71 nt
Filed under: Myotis davidii
Lineage: Eukaryota; Metazoa; Chordata; Mammalia; Chiroptera; Vespertilionidae
Rfam family: tRNA
About the family: Transfer RNA (tRNA) molecules are approximately 80 nucleotides in length. Their secondary structure includes four short double-helical elements and three loops (D, anti-codon, and T loops).
Source: Rfam by way of RNAcentral
GCCGAGGUGGCUCAAUGGCUGAGCAUCAACCUAUGAGCGAGGAGGUCCGGGUUCGAUUCCUGGUCAGGGCA